RNAcentral lists this ribosomal RNA (440 nucleotides) under uncultured bacterium. Its description in RNAcentral is "partial 16S ribosomal RNA". It matches the Rfam family "Bacterial small subunit ribosomal RNA", at positions 338 to 795 of the family's 1533-position model. The record is from RNAcentral.
CCUACGGGAGGCAGCAGUGGGGAAUAUUGCACAAUGGGGGGAACCCUGAUGCAGCGACGUCGCGUGGGUGAGGAAGUACCUCUGUAUUUAAAGCCCUAUCAGCAGGGAAGAAAAUGACGGUACCUGACUAAGAAGCCCCGGCUAACUACGUGCCAGCAGCCGCGGUAAUACGGAGGGGGCAAGCGUUAUCCGGAUUUACUGGGUGUAAAGGGAGCGUAGACGGCAGGUCAAGUCUGAUGUGAAAGGCCGGGGCUCAACCCCGGGACUGCAUUGGAAACUGGCAUGCUGGAGUGCCGGAGGGGCAAGCGGAAUGCGUAGUGUAGCGGUGAAAUGCGUAGAUAUUAGGAGGAACACCGGUGGCGAAGGCAGCUUGCUGGACUGUAACUGACGUUGAGGCUCGAAAGCGUGGGGAGCAAACAGGAUUAGAUACCCGAGUAGUC